GACGAACGCUGGCGGCGUGCCUAAUACAUGCAAGUAGAACGCACAGUUUAUACCGUAGCUUGCUACACCAUAGACUGUGAGUUGCGAACGGGUGAGUAACGUGUAGGUAACCUGCCUGGUAGCGGGGGAUAACUAUUGGAAACGAUAGCUAAUACCGCAUAAUAUUAAUUAUUGCAUGAUAAUUAAUUGAAAGGUGCAAUUGCACCACUACCAGAUGGACCUGCGUUGUAUUAGCUAGUAGGUGAGGUAACGGCUCACCUAGGCGACGAUACAUAGCCGACCUGAGAGGGUGAUCGGCCACACUGGGACUGAGACACGGCCCAGACUCCUACGGGAGGCAGCAGUAGGGAAUCUUCGGCAAUGGACGAAAGUCUGACCGAGCAACGCCGCGUGAGUGAAGAAGGUUUUCGGAUCGUAAAGCUCUGUUGUAAGAGAAGAACGGGUGUGAGAGUGGAAAGUUCACACUGUGACGGUAUCUUACCAGAAAGGGACGGCUAACUACGUG
RNAcentral lists this ribosomal RNA (505 nucleotides) under uncultured bacterium. RNAcentral describes it as "partial 16S ribosomal RNA". It matches the Rfam family "Bacterial small subunit ribosomal RNA", at positions 28 to 507 of the family's 1533-position model. The record is from RNAcentral.